This 253-nucleotide ribosomal RNA is filed under the name uncultured bacterium. Its description in RNAcentral is "partial 16S ribosomal RNA". It matches the Rfam family "Bacterial small subunit ribosomal RNA", at positions 524 to 776 of the family's 1533-position model. The record is from RNAcentral.
UACAGAGGGUGCGAGCGUUAAUCGGAAUUACUGGGCGUAAAGCGCACGUAGUCGGCUUUGCAAGUCGGGUGUGAAAUCCCCGGGCUCAACCUGGGAACUGCAUCCGAGACUGCAUUGCUAGAGUAUGGGAGAGGGAAGCGGAAUUUCUGGUGUAGCAGUGAAAUGCGUAGAUAUCAGAAGGAACAUCAGUGGCGAAGGCGGCUUCCUGGACCAAUACUGACGCUCAUGUGCGAAAGCGUGGGGAGCAAACAGG